This 687-nucleotide ribosomal RNA is filed under the name uncultured bacterium. RNAcentral describes it as "bacterial SSU rRNA". It matches the Rfam family "Bacterial small subunit ribosomal RNA", at positions 817 to 1502 of the family's 1533-position model. The record is from RNAcentral.
UUGGAGGUUGUGGCCUUGAGCCGUGGCUUUCGGGAGCUAACGCGUUAAGUAGACCGCCUGGGGAGUACGGUCGCAAGAUUAAAACUCAAAUGAAUUGAACGGGGGCCCGCACAAGCGGUGGAGCAUGUGGUUUAAUUCGAUGCAACGCGAAGAACCUUACCUACUCUUGACAUCUACAGAAGCCAGCGGAGACGCAGGUGUGCCUUCGGGAACUGUAAGACAGGUGCUGCAUGGCUGUCGUCAGCUCGUGUUGUGAAAUGUUGGGUUAAGUCCCGCAACGAGCGCAACCCUUAUCCUUGUUUGCCAGCACUUCGGGUGGGAACUCCAGGGAGACUGCCGGUGAUAAACCGGAGGAAGGUGGGGACGACGUCAAGUCAUCAUGGCCCUUACGAGUAGGGCUACACACGUGCUACAAUGGCGCAUACAGAGGGCGGCCAACUUGCGAAAGUGAGCGAAUCCCAAAAAGUGCGUCGUAGUCCGGAUUGGAGUCUGCAACUCGACUCCAUGAAGUCGGAAUCGCUAGUAAUCGUGGAUCAGAAUGCCACGGUGAAUACGUUCCCGGGCCUUGUACACACCGCCCGUCACACCAUGGGAGUGGGCUGCAAAAGAAGUGGGUAGUUUAACCUUCGGGAGGACGCUCACCACUUUGUGGUUCAUGACUGGGGUGAAGUCGUAACAAGGUAACCG